AUUCCAGCUCCAAUAGCGUAUAUUAAAGUUGUUGCAGUUAAAAAGCUCGUAGUUGGAGUUCAGAUUGAGCUCGGCCGGUCGGCCUAAUUGGUCAGAACUGGUUGACUCUGUCUUGUUUGUGGAUCCCUCCGGAGUUAACUCUUCGGAUGUGGAGUCCACAUCGUUUACCUUGAAAAAAUUAGAGUGUUCAAAGCAGGCGUUUGCUUGAAUAUAUUAGCAUGGAAUAAUGGAAUAGGACUUUGGUCUUAUUUUGUUGGUUUCUAAGGCCGAGGUAAUGAUUAAUAGGAGCAGUUGGGGAUGUCCGUAUUCGAUUGUCAGAGGUGAAAUUCUUGGAUUUAUUGAAGACGAACUACUGCGAAAGCAUUCAUCAAGGAUGUUUUCAUUG
This 385-nucleotide ribosomal RNA is filed under the name Telonemia sp. RNAcentral describes it as "partial small subunit ribosomal RNA". It matches the Rfam family "Eukaryotic small subunit ribosomal RNA", at positions 582 to 975 of the family's 1831-position model. The record is from RNAcentral. Lineage: Eukaryota; Telonemia.